This 1343-nucleotide ribosomal RNA is filed under the name uncultured bacterium. Its description in RNAcentral is "16S ribosomal RNA". It matches the Rfam family "Bacterial small subunit ribosomal RNA", at positions 28 to 1378 of the family's 1533-position model. The record is from RNAcentral.
GACGAACGCUGUCGGCGUGCUUAACACAUGCAAGUCGAACGGAAAGGCCCUGCUUUUGUGGGGUGCUCGAGUGGCGAACGGGUGAGUAACACGUGAGUAACCUGCCCUUGACUUUGGGAUAACUUCAGGAAACUGGGGCUAAUACCGGAUAGGAGCUCCUGCUGCAUGGUGGGGGUUGGAAAGUUUCGGCGGUUGGGGAUGGACUCGCGGCUUAUCAGCUUGUUGGUGGGGUAGUGGCUUACCAAGGCUUUGACGGGUAGCCGGCCUGAGAGGGUGACCGGCCACAUUGGGACUGAGAUACGGCCCAGACUCCUACGGGAGGCAGCAGUGGGGAAUAUUGCACAAUGGGCGGAAGCCUGAUGCAGCAACGCCGCGUGCGGGAUGACGGCCUUCGGGUUGUAAACCGCUUUCGCCUGUGACGAAGCGUGAGUGACGGUAAUGGGUAAAGAAGCACCGGCUAACUACGUGCCAGCAGCCGCGGUGAUACGUAGGGUGCGAGCGUCGUCCGGAUUUAUUGGGCGUAAAGGGCUCGUAGGUGGUUGAUCGCGUCGGAAGUGUAAUCUUGGGGCUUAACCCUGAGCGUGCUUUCGAUACGGGUUGACUUGAGGAAGGUAGGGGAGAAUGGAAUUCCUGGUGGAGCGGUGGAAUGCGCAGAUAUCAGGAGGAACACCAGUGGCGAAGGCGGUUCUCUGGGCCUUUCCUGACGCUGAGGAGCGAAAGCGUGGGGAGUGAACGGGCUUAGAUACCCUGGUAGUCCACGCUGUAAACGGUGGGUACUAGGUGUGGGGUCCAUUCCACGGGUUCCGUGCCGUAGCUAACGCUUUAAGUACCCCGCCUGGGGAGUACGGCCGCAAGGCUAAAACUCAAAGGAAUUGACGGGGCCCCGCACAAGCGGCGGAGCAUGCGGAUUAAUUCGAUGCAACGCGUAGAACCUUACCUGGGUUUGACAUGGAUCGGGAGUGCUCAGAGAUGGGUGUGCCUCUUUUGGGGUCGGUUCACAGGUGGUGCAUGGCUGUGGUCAGCUCGUGUCGUGAGAUGUUGGGUUAAGUCCCGCAACGAGCGCAACCCUUGUUCACUGUUGCCAGCACGUUAUGGUGGGGACUCAGUGGAGACCGCCGGGGUCAACUCGGAGGAAGGUGGGGAUGACGUCAAGUCAUCAUGCCCCUUAUGUCCAGGGCUUCACGCAUGCUACAAUGGCUGGUACAGAGAGUGGCGAGCCUGUGAGGGUGAGCGAAUCUCGGAAAGCCGGUCUCAGUUCGGAUUGGGGUCUGCAACUCGACCUCAUGAAGUCGGAGUCGCUAGUAAUCGCAGAUCAGCAACGCUGCGGUGAAUACGUUCCCGGG